GAUGAAGAACGCAGCAAAAUGCGAUAAGUAAUGUGAAUUGCAGAAUUCAGUGAAUCAUCGAAUCUUUGAACGCACAUUGCGCCCGCUGGUAUUCCGGCGGGCAUGCCUGUUCGAGCGUCAUUUCAACCCUCAAGCCCCGGGUUUGGUGUUGGGGAUCGGCUCUGCCCUUCUGGGCGGUGCCGCCCCCGAAAUACAUUGGCGGUCUCGCUGCAGCCUCCAUUGCGUAGUAGCUAACACCUCGCAACUGGAACGCGGCGCGGCCAUGCCGUAAAACCCCAACUUCUGAAUGUUGACCUCGGAUCAGGUAGGAAUACCCGCUGAACUUAAGCAUAUCAAUAAGCGGAGGA
This 347-nucleotide unclassified non-coding RNA is filed under the name soil metagenome. RNAcentral's name for it is "partial contains 5.8S ribosomal RNA, internal transcribed spacer 2, and large subunit ribosomal RNA". The stretch from base 1 to 120 matches the Rfam family "5.8S ribosomal RNA", at positions 35 to 154 of the family's 154-position model. The record is from RNAcentral.